This 71-nucleotide transfer RNA is filed under the name Ictidomys tridecemlineatus (thirteen-lined ground squirrel). RNAcentral's name for it is "Spermophilus tridecemlineatus (thirteen-lined ground squirrel) tRNA". It matches the Rfam family "tRNA". Rfam says of the family: Transfer RNA (tRNA) molecules are approximately 80 nucleotides in length. Their secondary structure includes four short double-helical elements and three loops (D, anti-codon, and T loops). Lineage: Eukaryota; Metazoa; Chordata; Mammalia; Rodentia; Sciuridae. The record is from Rfam by way of RNAcentral.
UGGGUUGUGGCUAAUUGGCAGAGCGUUUGCCUGGGAAGCUUGAGGCACUGAGUUCGAUCUCAGCACCACAA